UACGUAGGGGGCGAGCGUUGUCCGGAUUUAUUGGGCGUAAAGAGCGUGUAGGCGGCCAGGUAGGUCAGCUGUGAAAACUCGAGGCUCAACCUCGAGAUGUCGGCUGAAACCAUCUGGCUAGAGUCCGGAAGAGGAGAAUGGAAUUCCCGGUGUAGCGGUGAAAUGCGCAGAUAUCGGGAAGAACACCCGUGGCGAAGGCGGUUCUCUGGGACGGUACUGACGCUGAGGCGCGAAAGCGUGGGGAGCGAACAGG
Molecule: ribosomal RNA, 253 nt
Filed under: uncultured bacterium
Lineage: Bacteria
Description: partial 16S ribosomal RNA
Rfam family: Bacterial small subunit ribosomal RNA
Source: RNAcentral